Non-coding RNA from Vicia faba (fava bean), 363 nucleotides. The record is from the annotation of a GenBank genome assembly. NCBI's taxonomy places the organism in Eukaryota, Viridiplantae, Streptophyta, Magnoliopsida, Fabales, Fabaceae.
AUGGCGAAUUCAAUUCACAAAGUUAUGGAAUUGCAGAUAAGGGUAGGAUCAAUACUGAAGAAGGUUCAUAUUUUGAAGGCAGGGUGUUCAAAGAGAGUGAAAAGUAAAGGGAUAUAUAAGGCUUAUAUGCCUGGGAGAAGUGGAAGCAAUGAUGUGGGAUUGAAGAGUUUGUUGUAUUACUAUGAUGAGACUUGUCAACCUUAUAUAUGGAUUCAUGAUGUAGGGGGUGGUUCUUUGAGGAUGGUGAAACAACAGUAUGUGAGUCUUGAGGAUUUGAGGGAGUGUUGUGAGAUUAGGAUCUUGAGGGAUCAACAUAAGGGUUGCAUUUCGGUUUGUAAGAGAACUAGACCUGAUUUAUGCUGA